RNAcentral lists this ribosomal RNA (507 nucleotides) under Leptinotarsa cacica. RNAcentral's name for it is "partial 16S ribosomal RNA". It matches the Rfam family "Bacterial large subunit ribosomal RNA", at positions 1819 to 2600 of the family's 2925-position model. The record is from RNAcentral. Lineage: Eukaryota; Metazoa; Arthropoda; Insecta; Coleoptera; Chrysomelidae.
GUCUUUUUGAUGUUAAUUUAAAGUCUGACCUGCCCACUGAAAUUUAAAUGGCCGUGGUAUAUUGACCGUGCUAAGGUAGCAUAAUCAUUAGUUUUUUAAUUGGAAUCUGGAAUGAAAGGUUGAAUAAGAAAAAAACUGUCUCUAUUUAAUUGUUUUAGAAAUUUAUAUUUAAGUUAAAAAGCUUAAAUAUAUUUAAAAGACGAGAAGACCCUAUAGAGUUUAAUUAGGAAUUAAAAUUAUUUAUUUGAGAAUUAUUAUAAGUAAUUUACUAUUAAUUUAAUUGGGGUGAUUAAAAAAUUUAAAAAACUUUUUUUAUUAAAACCUUUAAUUAGAGAGUAGGUGAUCCAAAAGUGUUGAUUAUAAGAUAAAAUUACCUUAGGGAUAACAGCGUAAUUUUUUUAAAGAGUUCAUAUUAAAAAAAAAGAUUGCGACCUCGAUGUUGGAUUAAAAUUAAAUUUUGGUGUAGGAGCUAAAAUAUUAAGUCUGUUCGACUUUUAAAAUUUUACA